RNAcentral lists this unclassified non-coding RNA (485 nucleotides) under Hevea brasiliensis (rubber tree). The record is from RNAcentral. Lineage: Eukaryota; Viridiplantae; Streptophyta; Magnoliopsida; Malpighiales; Euphorbiaceae.
AAAAAAGACCAUAAUAUCUCAAAUAGAAAAUUCACAAAAAUAAAGUAGCAGCAGUUCUGUUCAAAUGUGAUUAAAACAACCAUAGCAGAAUAUCACUCACAAUCCUCUUAACCACACCAAAACAUAGUUGGAUAAAUUAUUCCCCUAUCAGUAGAUCCAACAAACAGAUAAAAUAUAAAUCACUCACAUAAGGAAAGACAUACCAUUACUCCAUCAGCAGAUGAACGGAACAUCGACGUGCUCAUCGCUGCAGUAGAGCCCCGGACGUUGCUUAAAUCCCUGCUUGGCCAGCACCUUUCGAGCCCUCUUCACCAGUUCCCGGUUCGAGAUCUCGCCAUCCGUCUCCGCCAGAAUAGUCUGAAUAGCAUUGCUCAUAGCUCCAUAAGCUCCAUCAGUGCUCCCUACCGGGUUUGCAUCAGCCGAGGUCUGGUCAGUCUGGCAGCCACUGACGAGGAUCCCGUUAUCCGGCAGACUCCUCCGGUUCG